This 182-nucleotide ribosomal RNA is filed under the name Staphylococcus aureus MRSA_CVMN26035PS. RNAcentral's name for it is "partial 16S ribosomal RNA". It matches the Rfam family "Bacterial small subunit ribosomal RNA", at positions 1 to 176 of the family's 1533-position model. Lineage: Bacteria; Bacillati; Bacillota; Bacilli; Caryophanales; Staphylococcaceae. The record is from RNAcentral.
UUUUAUGGAGAGUUUGAUCCUGGCUCAGGAUGAACGCUGGCGGCGUGCCUAAUACAUGCAAGUCGAGCGAACGGACGAGAAGCUUGCUUCUCUGAUGUUAGCGGCGGACGGGUGAGUAACACGUGGAUAACCUACCUAUAAGACUGGGAUAACUUCGGGAAACCGGAGCUAAUACCGGAUGA